CAGAAGAUAAUUUAAUUAAAAUGCUGGUUUUGGGGACCAGUUUUGGGCUUGCCCUCUUUUGA
This 62-nucleotide transfer RNA is filed under the name Phrynocephalus przewalskii. RNAcentral describes it as "tRNA-Pro". Lineage: Eukaryota; Metazoa; Chordata; Lepidosauria; Squamata; Agamidae. The record is from RNAcentral.